Molecule: ribosomal RNA, 486 nt
Filed under: uncultured bacterium
Lineage: Bacteria
Description: partial 16S ribosomal RNA
Rfam family: Bacterial small subunit ribosomal RNA
Source: RNAcentral
AUUGAACGCUGGCGGCAUGCCUUACACAUGCAAGUCGAACGGCAGCACGGGUGCUUGCACCUGGUGGCGAGUGGCGAACGGGUGAGUAAUACAUCGGAACAUGUCCUGUAGUGGGGGAUAGCCCGGCGAAAGCCGGAUUAAUACCGCAUACGAUCUACGGAUGAAAGCGGGGGACCUUCGGGCCUCGCGCUAUAGGGUUGGCCGAUGGCUGAUCAGCUAGUUGGUGGGGUAAAGGCCUACCAAGGCGACGAUCAGUAGCUGGUCUGAGAGGACGACCAGCCACACUGGGACUGAGACACGGCCCAGACUCCUACGGGAGGCAGCAGUGGGGAAUUUUGGACAAUGGGCGAAAGCCUGAUCCAGCAAUGCCGCGUGUGUGAAGAAGGCCUUCGGGUUGUAAAGCACUUUUGUCCGGAAAGAAAUCCUUGGCCCUAAUACGGUCGGGGGAUGACGUUACCGGAAGAAUAAGCACCGGCUAACUACGUG